CGAAUUUUUUUUUUACAGGAUGGUAGGGGAAGAUUCAUGAAUAUUCAUUAGGGAACGUGUCUUUGAUUGGCCAGUCAGCUCUAAAAUUCUAGGUGUAGUCUGCUCAAAGUAAAGUUCAGUUAUGGUGAAUGUAAACACGCUACAGCCACCGGCAGUUGUUAUUCGGUCGAAAUCAUUUAAGUACUGAACAUUGAAACACUAUUGCCACCAUUUAUGUAGCCAGCUGCUGGUUCUUCUGCUGGUAGCACUAUCUUCAUACCACUAUCAACAACAGUUAGCUGCUACGACUUCUCCGAUCCCUCGGAUAACGGUUUUUUCGCUGAUGGAGUGCUGAAACGGCGGUGACUGAGGGCUCACUGUCAUUCACAAGUGGGUCCAGUCUGGUUUGGGGGUCUACCCUUUCUCAUCAUGUCCUGCUACCCAAUAAAAAGGGAAAUAACUAAAGGCCUCUGCAGCUGCUUUUACAGAUGCUGUGAGAGUCAUGCCCUGUGCAGCGGCUUCUGAUUCAGUACAGCAGUUCAAUCAGCCCAGCAAACAGGAAAAACAGUUAAAUGUGUUUUAACUGUCAGCAUCCCUACCCAAAAAGAUCAGGCUACUGUUAUUUCCAACUAAGAAAAAAAAUGGUCUGGUUUGAAGAUUAUCUGUGUUUUGAAGCAUGUCCUAAAUAUUAAUUAAUAAUAAAAAU
Sardina pilchardus (European sardine) is the source of this 685-nucleotide long non-coding RNA. RefSeq lists it as uncharacterized. The transcript is spliced from 4 exons. Lineage: Eukaryota; Metazoa; Chordata; Actinopteri; Clupeiformes; Clupeidae. The record is from RefSeq and is a predicted model, not a curated record.